RNAcentral lists this ribosomal RNA (449 nucleotides) under uncultured bacterium. Its description in RNAcentral is "bacterial SSU rRNA". It matches the Rfam family "Bacterial small subunit ribosomal RNA", at positions 29 to 521 of the family's 1533-position model. The record is from RNAcentral.
AGCGAACGCUGGCGGCAGGCUUAACACAUGCAAGUCGAACGGGCGUAGCAAUACGUCAGUGGCAGACGGGUGAGUAACACGUGGGAACGUACCUUUUGGUUCGGAACAACUGAGGGAAACUUCAGCUAAUACCGGAUAAAGCCCUUACGGGGAAAGAUUUAUCGCCGAAAGAUCGGCCCGCGUCUGAUUAGCUAGUUGGUGGGGUAAGAGCCCACCAAGGCGACGAUCAGUAGCUGGUCUGAGAGGAUGAUCAGCCACAUUGGGACUGAGACACGGCCCAAACUCCUACGGGAGGCAGCAGUGGGGAAUAUUGGACAAUGGGCGAAAGCCUGAUCCAGCCAUGCCGCGUGAGUGAUGAAGGCCCUAGGGUUGUAAAGCUCUUUUAACGGGGAAGAUAAUGACGGUACCCGUAGAAUAAGCCCGGCUAACUUCGUGCCAGCAGCCGCGGU